RNAcentral lists this unclassified non-coding RNA (200 nucleotides) under Devriesia sp. Its description in RNAcentral is "partial internal transcribed spacer 2". Lineage: Eukaryota; Fungi; Ascomycota; Dothideomycetes; Mycosphaerellales; Teratosphaeriaceae. The record is from RNAcentral.
UUAAGUUCAGCGGGUAUCCCUACCCGAUCCGAGGUCAACCUGUGAUUGAGGUUUAACGGCGCGUCCGGUCAUCCUCGCCAGCGAAUUGAUGAAACCACAACGCUGAGAUUCAAACCGUCCAGCCGAUCACUUCGAGGCGCGGCAGACUGCCGUCGCCCAAUACCAAGCCAGGCUUGAGGGGUGUAAUGACGCUCGAACGG